This 586-nucleotide ribosomal RNA is filed under the name uncultured Verrucomicrobiota bacterium. RNAcentral's name for it is "bacterial SSU rRNA". It matches the Rfam family "Bacterial small subunit ribosomal RNA", at positions 790 to 1368 of the family's 1533-position model. Lineage: Bacteria; Pseudomonadati; Verrucomicrobiota. The record is from RNAcentral.
GUAGUCCACGCCCUAAACGAUGUCAACUGGUUGUCGGGGAAGCAAUUCCUUGGUAACGAAGCUAACGCGUGAAGUUGACCGCCUGGGGAGUACGGCCGCAAGGUUAAAACUCAAAGGAAUUGACGGGGACCCGCACAAGCGGUGGAUUAUGUGGAUCAAUUCGAUGCAACGCGAAAAACCUUACCUACCCUUGACAUGUACGGAACCCCGCAGAAAUGCGGGGGUGCCCGAAAGGGAGCCGUAACACAGGUGCUGCAUGGCUGUCGUCAGCUCGUGUCGUGAAAUGUUGGGUUAAGUCCCGCAACGAGCGCAACCCCUGUGUCCUGUUGCCACCCCGGCGAGAGUCGGGAGCACUCGGGACAGACUGCCUCGCUUAAACGAGGAGGAAGGUGGGGAUGACGUCAAGUCAGUAUGGCCCUUACGGCCAGGGCUGCACACGUACUACAAUGCCCGGCACAAAGGGAAGCAAGACCGCAAGGUGGAGCAAAUCCCCAAAAACCGGGCCCAGUUCAGAUCGUCGUCUGCAACUCGACGGCGUGAAGUUGGAAUCGCUAGUAAUGGCGCAUCAGCUACGGCGCCGUGAAUA